RNAcentral lists this ribosomal RNA (250 nucleotides) under uncultured bacterium. RNAcentral describes it as "partial 16S ribosomal RNA". It matches the Rfam family "Bacterial small subunit ribosomal RNA", at positions 355 to 619 of the family's 1533-position model. The record is from RNAcentral.
UUAGGAAUUUUGCGCAAUGGACGAAAGUCUGACGCAGCAACUCCGCGUGAGUGAUGAAGGCCUUCGGGUUGUAAAGCUCUUUUAGUUGGGAAGAAGAAAAUGACGGUACCAACAGAAACAGCACCGGCUAACCCUGUGCCAGCAGCCGCGGUAAUACAGGGGGUGCAAGCGUUAUUCGGAAUUAUUGGGCGUAAAGAGCGUGUAGGCGGUUCAGCAAGUUUGGUGUGAAAUCCCCGGGCUUAAUCCGGGA